Long non-coding RNA from Amphiprion ocellaris (clown anemonefish), 481 nucleotides. The record is from Ensembl. Lineage: Eukaryota; Metazoa; Chordata; Actinopteri; Pomacentridae.
AUGUCGUCCAAAAUUGUGAAAAAACGUCAUAGUUUAGUAUGUCGACCAAAAUGUGGAAAAAAACGUCAUAGUUUAGUAUGUCGUCCAAAAUGUGGAAAAAAAGGUCAUAGUUUAGUAUGUCGUCCAAAAUUGCGAAAAAACGUCAUAGUUUAGUAUGUCGUCCAAAAUUGUGAAAAAACGUCAUAGUUUAGUAUGUCGUCCAAAAUGUGGAAAAAAACGUCAUAGUUUAGUAUGUCGUCCAAAAUUGCGAAAAAACGUCAUAGUUUAGUAUGUCGUCCAAAAUUGUGAAAAAACGUCAUAGUUUAGUAUGUCGUCCAAAAUGUGGAAAAAAACGUCAUAGUUUAGUAUGUCGUCCAAAAUGUGGAAAAAAACGUCAUAGUUUAGUAUGUCGUCCAAAAUGUGGAAAAAAAGGUCAUAGUUUAGUAUGUCGUCCAAAAUGUGGAAAAAAACGUCAUAGUUUAGUAUGUCGUCCAAAAUGUGG